This 197-nucleotide unclassified non-coding RNA is filed under the name plant metagenome. RNAcentral's name for it is "partial contains small subunit ribosomal RNA, internal transcribed spacer 1, and 5.8S ribosomal RNA". The record is from RNAcentral.
UCUCCGUUGGUGAACCAGCGGAGGGAUCAUUACCGAGUGCAAACUCAUAACCCUUUGUGAACCUAUAUCUGUUGCUUCGGCGGCUCGCUGUCGGGCGAGCCCGCCGGUAACAUCAGUAACUCUGUUUGUACCCGACGAUACUUCUGAGUGUUCUUAGUGAACAGUUAAAACUUUUAACAACGGAUCUCUUGGCUCUC